RNAcentral lists this ribosomal RNA (1448 nucleotides) under uncultured Bacteroidota bacterium. Its description in RNAcentral is "bacterial SSU rRNA". It matches the Rfam family "Bacterial small subunit ribosomal RNA". Lineage: Bacteria; Pseudomonadati; Bacteroidota. The record is from RNAcentral.
GAUGAACGCUAGCGGCAGGCUUAAUACAUGCAAGUCGAACGGUAACAUGAGUAGCAAUACUUGAUGACGAGUGGCGCACGGGUGCGUAACGCGUAUGCAACUUACCUUCAACUGGAAGAUAGCCCCUCGAAAGAGGGAUUAAUAUUCCAUAAUUUUAUGAUUUGGCAUCAAAUUAUAAUUAAAGAUCAGUCGGUUGAAGAUAGGCAUGCGUGACAUUAGCUAGUUGGUGAGGUAAUGGCUCACCAAGGCAACGAUGUCUAGGGGAUCUGAGAGGACUAACCCCCACACUGGUACUGAGACACGGACCAGACUCCUACGGGAGGCAGCAGUAAGGAAUAUUGGUCAAUGGAGGCAACUCUGAACCAGCCAUGCCGCGUGAAGGAUGAAGGCCCUAUGGGUUGUAAACUUCUUUUAUACGGGAAGAAACCUCCGCACGUGUGCGGAGCUGACGGUACUGUAAGAAUAAGGAUCGGCUAACUCCGUGCCAGCAGCCGCGGUAAUACGGAGGAUCCAAGCGUUAUCCGGAUUUAUUGGGUUUAAAGGGUGCGUAGGCGGAAUAGUAAGUCAGUGGUGAAAGCCUGUCGCUUAACGACGGAACUGCCAUUGAUACUGCUAAUCUUGAGUAUAAUUGAAGUGGGCGGAAUGUGUCGUGUAGCGGUGAAAUGCUUAGAUAUGACACAGAACACCAAUUGCGAAGGCAGCUCACUAAACUAUAACUGACGCUGAGGCACGAAAGCGUGGGGAUCAAACAGGAUUAGAUACCCUGGUAGUCCACGCUGUAAACUAUGAUUACUCGAUGUGUGCGGUAUACAGUACGCGUCUUAGCGAAAGUGAUAAGUAAUCCACCUGGGGAGUACGCUCGCAAGAGUGAAACUCAAAGGAAUUGACGGGGGCCCGCACAAGCGGAGGAGCAUGUGGUUUAAUUCGAUGAUACGCGAGGAACCUUACCUGGGCUUGAAAGUUAGCGACUGAGUGUGAAAGCAGGCUUUCCUUCGGGACACGAAACAAGGUGCUGCAUGGUUGUCGUCAGCUCGUGCCGUGAGGUGUUGGGUUAAGUCCCGCAACGAGCGCAACCCCUAUCGUUAGUUACCAUCAUUAAGUUGGGGACUCUAGCGAGACUGCCGGCGUAAGCCGCGAGGAAGGUGGGGAUGACGUCAAAUCAUCAUGGCCUUUAUGCCUAGGGCGACACACGUGCUACAAUGGCCGGCACAGAGGGUAGCGAUACAGUGAUGUGGAGCCAAUCCCAGAAAGCCGGUCCCAGUUCGGAUUGGAGUCUGCAACCCGACUCCAUGAAGGUGGAAUCGCUAGUAAUCGCGCAUCAGCCAUGGCGCGGUGAAUACGUUCCCGGACCUUGUACACACCGCCCGUCAAGCCAUGGAAGCUGGGGGUACCUAAAGAUGGUGACUUUACGGGGAGCUAUCUAAGGUAAAACCAGUAACUGGGGCUAA